CAGAUCUAGCUUGCUAGAUGCUGACGAGUGGCGCACGGGUGCGUAACGCGUAUACAAUCUACCUUUAACUGAGGGAUAGCCCAGAGAAAUUUGGAUUAAUACCUCAUAGUAUUAUAAUUAGGCAUCUUUUUAUAAUUAAAACUUCGGUGGUUAAAGAUGAGUAUGCGUACUAUUAGCUAGUUGGUAAGGUAAAAGCUUACCAAGGCAACGAUAGUUAGGGGGCCUGAAAGGGUGAUCCCCCACACUGGUACUGAGACACGGACCAGACUCCUACGGGAGGCAGCAGUGAGGAAUAUUGCACAAUGGAGGAAACUCUGAUGCAGCCAUGCCGCGUGCAG
RNAcentral lists this ribosomal RNA (338 nucleotides) under uncultured Bacteroidota bacterium. RNAcentral describes it as "bacterial SSU rRNA". It matches the Rfam family "Bacterial small subunit ribosomal RNA", at positions 70 to 406 of the family's 1533-position model. The record is from RNAcentral. Lineage: Bacteria; Pseudomonadati; Bacteroidota.